GACGAACGCUGGCGGCGUGCUUAACACAUGCAAGUCGAACGGAAAGGCCCUGCUUUUGUGGGGUGCUCGAGUGGCGAACGGGUGAGUAACACGUGAGUAACCUGCCCUUGACUUUGGGAUAACUUCAGGAAACUGGGGCUAAUACCGGAUAGGAGAUCCUGCUGCAUGGUGGGGGUUGGAAAGUUUCGGCGGUUGGGGAUGGACUCGCGGCUUAUCAGCCUGUUGGUGGGGUAGUGGCUUAACAAGGCUUUGACGGGUAGCCGGCCUGAGAGGGUGACCGGCCACAUUGGGACUGGGCUACGGCCAGACUCCUACGGGAGGCAGCGGGGGGGAGUAUUGCACAAUGGGCGGAAGCCUGAUGCAGCAACGCCGCGUGCGGGAUGCCGGCCUUCGGGUUGUAAACCGCUUUCGCCUGUGACGAAGCGUGAGUGACGGUAAUGGGUAAAGAAGCACCGGCUAACUACGUG
RNAcentral lists this ribosomal RNA (467 nucleotides) under uncultured bacterium. Its description in RNAcentral is "partial 16S ribosomal RNA". It matches the Rfam family "Bacterial small subunit ribosomal RNA", at positions 28 to 507 of the family's 1533-position model. The record is from RNAcentral.